CCAAAUCCUCCCCAAAGGAUGGUAAGCAUAAUUCGUGAGAGAACUCCACUGCGGCAAUGCCGCUAGCAUACAUCUUUGAUGAUUACCUUCCUGCACCCUUGUUUCCAGUAAACACCCGAACAAAGGCUUCUCAGCUUGAACCCAUGAUCGAAGAGCUCUAUGCUUGCAUGGCAUGUUGAAACCACGCAUAUUCCAUGCGUAGAAGGACGUCAUAUCUUCCUAACAGAAGAUUUUUUGGAUGUGCCUUGUUUACCCACAUAUAACAAAUCUUUAGUACGAAUCACUUUACUACGGGAAGGUUUAUGAGCUGAACCAGCUGCAAGUUUGUUGCCUUUUCUUCUCCUCUUCUUUACUUUCUAGAAUCUCACCCUCUUCAGUCUCCUUUCCAUACUCAUCUAUAUUAUCCUCCUCUUCUUCCUCAUCAAUGUCAUGUAAGGGUCUAAACCGAGAUGGUGAAACCACCCGUUCCUCAUCUUCUACCAAAUCCUUACCCUGCUUCUUCCCAUGAACCAGUGCCCAACCUUCUGCUACAUUGGCCCGAAACGCCUCUGUCGUAGGCUCAGAUAUCUGUAUAGUAUGGUAUCUAAUUUUUAUAAACCAAUAUAUCGAAAAACCAAACCAAGCCAGACUAAAAUUGAAUAAACCAAAAAUCGAGAGUAUGUAAAUUGAACCAAACCAAAACAGAUAUAAUUUUCAUAUGGUAUCUAAUUUUUAUAAACCAAAAUAUCGAAAUACUGAGCCGAGACUAUACCAAAAUCUGGAUUGAACAACCCUACUUUGAAUCUAUGAUUUUUAUCCAUGUCUCAC
This 807-nucleotide long non-coding RNA is filed under the name Brassica napus (rape). RNAcentral describes it as "long non-coding RNA (BNAP_LNC015025)". Lineage: Eukaryota; Viridiplantae; Streptophyta; Magnoliopsida; Brassicales; Brassicaceae. The record is from RNAcentral.